AACGGAGAUUAUACGCAGAGGCGAUUUCGGUCAAAUCAUGUAAAAUCUUAGUGGCGGACGGGUGAGUAACGCGUGGGUAACCUGCCUUACACUGGGGGAUAACACUUAGAAAUAGGUGCUAAUACCGCAUAAGCGCACGAAGCCGCAUGGAUUUGUGUGAAAAACUCCGGUGGUGUAAGAUGGACCCGCGUCUGAUUAGCUUGUUGGCGGGGUAACGGCCCACCAAGGCGACGAUCAGUAGCCGGCCUGAGAGGGUGGACGGCCACAUUGGGACUGAGACACGGCCCAAACUCCUACGGGAGGCAGCAGUGGGGGAUAUUGGACAAUGGGGGGAACCCUGAUCCAGCGACGCCGCGUGAGUGAAGAAGUAUUUCGGUAUGUAAAGCUCUGUCAGCAGGGAAGAAAGAAAUGACGGUACCUGACCAAGAAGCCCCGGCUAACUACGUGCCAGCAGCCGCGGUAAUACGUAGGGGGCAAGCGUUAUCCGGAAUUACUGGGUGUAAAGGGAGCGUAGACGGUUAAGUAAGUCUGGAGUGAAAGGCCGGGGCCCAACCCCGGGACUGCUCUGGCAACUAUUCAACUUGAGUGCAGGAGAGGUAAGCGGAAUUCCUAGUGUAGCGGUGAAAUGCGU
This 631-nucleotide ribosomal RNA is filed under the name uncultured bacterium. RNAcentral describes it as "bacterial SSU rRNA". It matches the Rfam family "Bacterial small subunit ribosomal RNA", at positions 54 to 691 of the family's 1533-position model. The record is from RNAcentral.